AUUGAACGCUGGCGGCAGGCCUAACACAUGCAAGUCGAGCGGAUGAAGGGAGCUUGCUCCUGGAUUCAGCGGCGGACGGGUGAGUAAUGCCUAGGAAUCUGCCUGGUAGUGGGGGAUAACGUCCGGAAACGGGCGCUAAUACCGCAUACGUCCUGAGGGAGAAAGUGGGGGAUCUUCGGACAUCACGCUAUCAGAUGAGCCUAGGUCGGAUUAGCUAGUUGGUGGGGUAAAGGCCUACCAAGGCGACGAUCCGUAACUGGUCUGAGAGGAGGAUCAGUCACACUGGAACUGAGACACGGUCCAGACUACUACGGGAGGCAGCAGUGGGGAAUAGUGGACAAUGGGCGAAAGCCUGAUCCAGCCAUGCCGCGUGUGUGAAGAAGGUCUUCUGAUUGUAAAGCACUUUAAGUUGGGAGGAAGGGCAGUAAGUUAAUACCUUGCUGUUUUGACGUUACCAACAGAAUAAGCACCGGCUAACUUCGUG
Molecule: ribosomal RNA, 484 nt
Filed under: uncultured bacterium
Lineage: Bacteria
Description: partial 16S ribosomal RNA
Rfam family: Bacterial small subunit ribosomal RNA
Source: RNAcentral